RNAcentral lists this ribosomal RNA (468 nucleotides) under uncultured bacterium. Its description in RNAcentral is "partial 16S ribosomal RNA". It matches the Rfam family "Bacterial small subunit ribosomal RNA", at positions 28 to 507 of the family's 1533-position model. The record is from RNAcentral.
GACGAACGCUGGCGGCGUGCUUAACACAUGCAAGUCGAACGGAAAGGCCCUGCUUUUGUGGGGUGCUCGAGUGGCGAACGGGUGAGUAACACGUGAGUAACCUGCCCUUGACUUUGGGAUAACUUCAGGAAACUGGGGCUAAUACCGGAUAGGAGCUCCUGCUGCAUGGUGGGGGUUGGAAAGUUUCGGCGGUUGGGGAUGGACUCGCGGCUUAUCAGCUUGUUGGUGGGGUAGUGGCUUACCAAGGCUUUGACGGGUAGCCGGCCUGAGAGGGUGACCGGCCACAGUGGGACUGAGAUACGGCCCAGACUCCUACGGGAGGCAGCAGUGGGGAAUAUUGCACAAUGGGCGGAAGCCUGAUGCAGCAACGCCGCGUGCGGGAUGACGGCCUUCGGGUUGUAAACCGCUUUCGCCUGUGACGAAGCGUGAGUGACGGUAAUGGGUAAAGAGGCACCGGCUAACUACGUG